AGUGAACGCUGGCGGUAGGCCUAACACAUGCAAGUCGAACGGCAGCACAGUAAGAGCUUGCUCUUACGGGUGGCGAGUGGCGGACGGGUGAGGAAUACAUCGGAACCUACUUUUUCGUGGGGGAUAACGUAGGGAAACUUACGCUAAUACCGCAUACGACCUACGGGUGAAAGCAGGGGACCUUCGGAACUUGCGCGAUUGACUGAGCCGAUGUCGGAUUAGCUAGCUGGCGGGGUAAAGGCCCACCAAGGCAACGAUCCGUAGCUGGUCUGAGAGGAUGAUCACCCACACUAGAACUGCGACACGGUCCAGACGCCUUCGGGACGCACCAGUGGGGAAGUGUCGACAAUGGCCGCAAUCUUGAUCCAGCCAUAGCGCGUAGAUCAAGAAGGCUUUCGUGUUGUAAGACCUUUUUCUUAGGAAAGAAAAGCGGCAGGUUAAUACCCCGCUGUUCUGACGGUACCCAAGGAAUAAGCACCGGCUAGCUUCGUG
This 492-nucleotide ribosomal RNA is filed under the name uncultured bacterium. Its description in RNAcentral is "partial 16S ribosomal RNA". It matches the Rfam family "Bacterial small subunit ribosomal RNA", at positions 29 to 507 of the family's 1533-position model. The record is from RNAcentral.